UGCCAGCCGCCGCGGUAAUACGGAGGGUGCAAGCGUUGUUCGGAAUUAUUGGGCGUAAAGCGCGUGUAGGCGGUUCGUUAAGUCUGAUGUGAAAGCCCGGGGCUCAACCCCGGAAGUGCAUUGGAAACUGGCGAACUUGAGUACGGGAGAGGAAAGUGGAAUUCCGAGUGUAGGGGUGAAAUGCGUAGAUAUCUGGGAGAAGGCCAAAGGCGAAGGCAGCUUUCUGGUGAGUGACUGACGCUGAGAGACGAAAGCUAGGGUAGCGAACGGGAUUAGAUA
This 279-nucleotide ribosomal RNA is filed under the name uncultured bacterium. RNAcentral's name for it is "partial 16S ribosomal RNA". It matches the Rfam family "Bacterial small subunit ribosomal RNA", at positions 506 to 784 of the family's 1533-position model. The record is from RNAcentral.